Molecule: long non-coding RNA, 948 nt
Organism: Armigeres subalbatus
Lineage: Eukaryota; Metazoa; Arthropoda; Insecta; Diptera; Culicidae
Exons: 3
Source: RefSeq, a predicted model, not a curated record
UUGUGUCACCCACCACACUGAACUAUUUAUAAUUGUAAAUACCUAAAAUUACACAAACCUUGAUUAUACGUCAAAUAAGCGUUACUAUCGUAACGCUUCAAUCUGUCAAGAUAAUAAAGAAUAAAUCUCUCGUCCACUUUCAUUUGGACCAGCAACGGACACGCAUCGUUUUUUAAUUCAUUUCCAUCAACUGGCGACUAGGUUUUUUUUAUACGAAUAUCGACCGCGUGUGCAGUGAAUAAGUAGUUUUGUGGCAUUGUGGUGCAAUUACUUCAAUACUGUGGUUUUUCGACUGCGAGAAAGCCAAAGCACGCCGAAAACAACCCACGAGGACGGUGAGGCAUAUCAAACGACGAGAACUGAGGGCUGCCUGUGAUAUUUUGCGAAACGCCGAACAGCGCCGACGGUGAAGGCAAAAGGAAAGCAAAUUACCGACAAAUCCGCGGGAGUGGCUUGCUGAAAGACGCUGGAGACGCCGGAUAAACUAGUUUGAGGUAGUUGAUUCCACGAUCGCCGUUCGGUUGAGCAUCAGGAGUGCAGUUUUCCCUUGGCAGCGUUUGUCGCAUACAUCCGCGGAAGUUGGUUGCUAUACGGACGCCGAAUAAUCCCGUAGGAGGCAGCUGAUUUCGUUGUUGCCGUCCGGAGCGACGUUCUGUUGGGCAGCGGAAAAGGGAAAAAUUCGUCGAAAGGUCGGCCUCAGGCAACCGUGGAAGUUACGUGCUACUCAGGAAGGUUUGAUAGUGGUUCGAAUAGUACGGCUUCGGGUCGUUUUCCGGAAGAGGGUGAUUGCGACAAUUGUCGGCACAGGCAAAGGCCUUGGGCGAGAGCCAAUCGUAUCUGUACGGAUAGCAAUUGGAAGCGCUCUCACCAUGGCCCACCGAAGUCAGAUAAGGGGCUACAAGGGGCAAACUCCGCAGGCGAGGCAAAACGUGUGGCUGGGAGUUGGUA